AAUUCUCAUUUUGAUACUUCCUUUUUUGUAAUACCAAGAACUGAAUUAUUUCCAUUUGUCCUCAUGCUUAUUUGAGAAUAAGAAGUUGUUUUCUUCUCAAUUCUAUAUGGGUAUCUUCCAAGAUAAAAUCUUUACGAGGUUUUAAGUUGUUGUAUUGAAGUAAAUUCCAAAAUCUCUUAAUUUGAGGUGUUUUAUUUAUUUGGAUUUAAUGGAUGUUUCUUGUGAUCUUGAAGUGGAUGUCAAUGAUAAAGAAAUAUUUAUUGUUAAUAAGGUAGAUUUUCUUUCUUUUAGCUUUCUGCUUUUUCUCUUUUGUCUUUGUAAAAUAAGAACAAGCUCUGUAUUUUCUCUCCCUUUUCUUUUUUGAUUGUUUGUCCAAAUUGUUACCUUUUCAAUUAUGUUAUUCUGUUUUUUAGUUCUAAUUCUCCGUUUUUGGCUUGUUUUCUCCUCUAUUUUCUCCAAGUUCUUUUUUUUGUGUGUGCAAAAUAAUAGUUUAGCCUGAUACUAUGAUUUUACAUGAGCUACUAACUGUAAGAUUGUAAAUUCUUGCCUAGUUUUUGUUAUGUGAUAUUCUUGUGCAUUAAGUUCUGACAAUUUGUCAGAUUUUAAUUGGUUUGCAUAGAAGAAUGAUGUAUUUGAGAUGCAUAGAUGUAACUCCUUUUAUGUUUUAGAUAGUUGGUUUCUUGAGCACUGUUAUUUAGUCUAUUAGAUGAUAACUAUAAGUCUUAGACAAUGUGAAUAAAUAUGUUGGCUUUUCUUUUGCGUGAACUCCUGAUUUUCUUUUAUUGCUUGCAGGUAUGCUGAAGCCCAAGCUUUACGAGAAAUUCAAGAACUCAAUUCAGUCAGCACCUACAUCAUAAGGUGUAGCAUAACCUUUAUCAACAACUGAAUCAACACCUUCACAUUUUGAUGAUGCACCACAACUGACUUUAUUUAAUCAACCGACAGAAUGACCAACACCUUCAGGUCAUGUUGUAGCAAAUCUGAUUCUGUCAGAUCAGACCACAACACAACAAGUUCCAUCAGCCCGGGCCGCGUCACAACACCCACCAUCUAGAAAACGAAGUGGACGUGUGUCUACGAAACAUUGAACUGUAGAUGCAAUAGGUAUGUUUCUUAUCUAACAUAAAUAUUUGAGGUUUGUUUUGGGGAACUGCUGCAUGGCUCACUUGGUUAAUAUCAUGGUGCUAACUACUACCUUAUCCAGAUCAAAGUUGUCCUCGUUGUGUAGCGCUGGAGUAUGAUCUAAAUGAUCAAGAUUCAGAAACCGUAAAUGAAAAGUAUUAUUCCCAUUUUCACCCCCAAGAAUAUGGAAUAGAACCAGAAAGAUUGUUAUAUUGUAAGUCAAGAAAAAUAAGAGAGGUGGAUUGAGUAAAACUUUGUGCGAUUUCACCAGACAAAGAGUUAUAACUUAGAUUAAGAAUAUAAAGCUUAGUCGAAUUAAUUAGACUAGUUGGCAUUGUCCUAGACAAAGAAUUAUUACUGAUUUCAAGUGUU
RNAcentral lists this long non-coding RNA (1494 nucleotides) under Nicotiana tabacum (common tobacco). Its description in RNAcentral is "long non-coding RNA (NTAB_LNC003994)". Lineage: Eukaryota; Viridiplantae; Streptophyta; Magnoliopsida; Solanales; Solanaceae. The record is from RNAcentral.